Molecule: ribosomal RNA, 511 nt
Filed under: uncultured soil bacterium
Lineage: Bacteria
Description: bacterial SSU rRNA
Rfam family: Bacterial small subunit ribosomal RNA
Source: RNAcentral
AGAAUCAACGCUGGCGGCGUGCCUAACACAUGCAAGUCGAACGCGGUUACCUCGCAAGGGGUAACUGAGUGGCGAACGGGUGAGUAACACGUGGGUGACCUACCUUCGAAUGGGGGAUAACGUCCCGAAAGGGACGCUAAUACCGCAUAACAUCCUGCUCUUGAAUGGGUGGAGAUCAAAGCCGGGGAUCGCAAGACCUGGCGUUUGGAGAGGGACCCGCGUCCGAUUAGCUAGUUGGUGAGGUAACGGCCCACCAAGGCGACGAUCGGUAGCCGGCCUGAGAGGGCGACGGCCACGACUGGACUGAGACACGGCCCAGACUCCUACGGGAGGCAGCAGUGGGAAUUGUCGCAAGUGGGCGCAAGCCUGACGACGCAACGCCGCGUGGAGGAUGAAGGUCUUCGGAUUGUAAACUCCUGUUGCCGGACGAAAUGUUCAGACCUAAUACGUCUGAGUUUGACGGUACCGGGUAGAAGGAACGCCCCGGCUAAACGUCUGUGCCAGCAGCCGC